Molecule: long non-coding RNA, 2198 nt
Organism: Cephus cinctus (wheat stem sawfly)
Lineage: Eukaryota; Metazoa; Arthropoda; Insecta; Hymenoptera; Cephidae
Exons: 7
Source: RefSeq, a predicted model, not a curated record
AUUAUAAUUCAAUACUCACGUCAUCGACAGGAUCCACAGGAACACCCAGGGAUAGUAAAUGCGUAACAAGAUCAUCGUGUCCUCCCAAAGCAGCCCAGUGUAUCAACAUUCGUCCAUUCUAGAUUAAAACAGUCACGACGGUUUUCAACUAUUCCACUGUCAAGGAAGUCCCGGACGCCUCGAAGGAGAACGACGACGACAACACUUUUCACGUGGAAGUAUCGACUGGGAACUUUUCGUUUCCCGUAUAGAUUUCUGCUUAGCGGUGGAAAACUUGUACCCGUAAAAAUAACAAUAAUUCUAUUCGUCCCGCCGGAGUCAACAAUGGCCGACGGCAGGAGCGCGUAGAGGGUUAGGUUUGCACGCUCAAACGUUCUCGCAAACUAGUCAAACUCAUGUUAAGGAGCUGCCGUGUUAUUUGACACAAGAUGAAGGGAAUGGCAUACACGUUAAGAUUAAAUGGCCGCUUGCUCUGGUAUUGUAGACGUACGUAUUCGAAAUCGACUCGCCGACUGUUACAUAAACGGAACUGCGGCUGAUUUAGCAUUAAUGGUGUCUGUAUGUGGUACAGACGUGCCAAACUGAAACAGUGGCAGCUGGGUGAAUUCGAGAGAGGCGAAAUUGUCAGUGGGUGGAUUCUCUGUUGGAGACGUCCGACGUCAUAGGCAAGCCUGAGUCCUGUAAUUAACAGAAUCACUCUACUCUCUCACUCUUUCUCUCUCCCAAUAUUAGCUUUGCCUUGUCUAACGGUUUGGCACAUGGAUUCAAAAUACUGAUUGUCAGUGAAAUUUCAUAUCGUCCAUUACUAAUAUCCAUUAUACAGUGAUAGGAAGGGUGAAAUGUACGGGGGAGUAGGAGAGGAUGAUUGAAUUCUCAGUAAGCUAACAAGAGACAGACAGCGCAACAGAAAUUCCUGGAGAACAAUCAAUAAUCGCUAACAAGAGACAGACAGUGCAACAGAAAUUCCUGGAGAACAAUCAAUAAUCGAUAAAAGGUCGUAAAUGAAUGGGAAUUCAAUGGGAGGAUAAUAAAAGUCCAAUUGAGGUUACAUUCUAAAUGUCUUCUUUCAUGUCUGUACUAUUUAAAAAUAAACUGAGUGAAAUAUUAAUCGAAUCCUGGAUUACCGUGUCACGUGCUGGUCGAAGGAAGAAGAAUCCAUUAAUGAAAAUGUAAAUGUCAAAAGUCAAGAUACUACCACAAAGAAAAGAGCUACAGAGAUCAGCGAAAUAGACGAGUUUCCAAUGGCGCUACUGAUUGAGGACGAGUUUCUACCCAAGUUAAGCAAGGGAUCAGAAGCGGAAGAGCCAGAGAAUAUUACAAGGGCAAAUGGGAAUCUCGUAGCCGGAUUUAAAUAUUUGGUUACCAUUUGAAAUGGAAUAAUGAAAAAGCCGGGUAAAGGACCUGCAGGACCCAGAAACGAAAAAAGACAAAAAAGUCAUAGGGCCAAGAAAAGUACAAAGAAAGGAACAAUGGAUAAAAGAAAAAGGCGAUUGGUUGUCCUAUGGGAUAAGCUGGUAGGCAAGGUGGUGGCAAUUUUAAUUUAAUAUGACCCCGACCAGAGCCGUAUGAAUUUACAACGAUAAGACCAGGGAGCUUUCCGGCGCAUAGGAUAAUAAAUAUGGCGCGUAGGGCCGUGACGUAAUCCUACGGAAGGAUGCGAGUCAGAUAUUGGCCAUGUAAUCCGGGUUUUAUGUGAGGAUCGGGAUGUGCUCAUCCUAUACGAUACAACCACGUCCGACUCCGAGAGUUUGAGGAAGGAUUCAAGCCCGGCUGCUUCCAUGUUGCUGGAAAGUCAUAAACCGACGGAUUAAUAAUAAGGACGAGCCAUCUGAGUAUCCCUUUGCAUAUAACGUAUAAUAAGGUUUCUCUUGAUAUUGGCUCUACCAUAGACCGCAUAAUUGUUAUAUAGCACUAAACUCAUUUUCCGUAACAAUUCAUUAAAUCUAACAAUGGUCCAAAUACUAGUAUGUGUUAAAAGUUUUUCCUAAUGCACAACAGACUUCAAAUAUUAACAUAAUGAAUUGGAUCAAAGUUUCGAGUAGUACCCACAUAUUAAAAAUGGUAUAUGAAGGAUAACAUUAUGGAUAAUUAGAAACUAAAUUUAAAAUUAAAUAUGCACAUGACUUUUUAAAAAUAAUUUUCACCAUUGAAGCUUAUUCUUAUUCAAAUGACAAUAAUCAAAUGAAUCUUGAAAACUU